GUUCUCUCUUUGGCAGAACAUAUACUAAAAUUGUAAUGAUAGAGAGAAGAUUAGCAUGACCCUGGUGCAAGGCUAACACAAAUUCAUGAAGCAUUACAUAUUAAA
Molecule: small nuclear RNA, 105 nt
Filed under: Castor canadensis (American beaver)
Lineage: Eukaryota; Metazoa; Chordata; Mammalia; Rodentia; Castoridae
Source: RNAcentral